Anolis carolinensis (green anole) is the source of this 3008-nucleotide long non-coding RNA. Lineage: Eukaryota; Metazoa; Chordata; Lepidosauria; Squamata; Anolidae. The record is from Ensembl.
AUCCAGAGUAGCAGAUGGCGUCCGUCAAGAAGACGACGGAAGGUCAAAGCUAUUGAGAUUAAGCAGAGGUUUUGCACAAACAAAAGCCCACACAAUUCCUCCCGCCGUCUGAACCCAAAUUCCAAAACAACUUACGUAUCAGCACACGAAAACACACCAGUCUUCAGGAAAGCGUCCCACACAGAUCCCAAGCGUUCGUCCAGAUUACCUUGCCCAACGCAAUUUGCAAUUGCUCCCAAGCCUCAUUUUAUGCCAGUUACAAAUCCUCAUCACUAUCAGCUGCCCUCCUUAACCCGGGCGUUUCCUCAUCACUUUCCUCAUCAGAGCUGGAACACCUCUGACUACGCCCCACAGCAUCCCCAGCUGUGGGGCGUAGUCAGAGGUGUUCCAGCUCUGAUGAGGAAAGUGAUGAGGAAACGCCCGGGUUAAGGAGGACAGCUGACAGUGAUGAGGAUUUGUAACUGGCAUAAAAUGGGGCUUGGGAGCAAUUGCAAAUUGCGUUGGGCAAGGUAAUCUGGACGAACGCUUGGGAUCUGUGUGGGACGCUUUCCUGAAGACUGGUGUGUUUUCGUGUGCUGAUACGUAAGUUGUUUUGGAAUUCAGGGUCAGACGGCGGGAGGAAUUGUGUGGGCAUUUGUUUGUGCAAACCUGUGCUUACUCUUAUUAGCUUGACCUUCCGUCGUCUUCUUGACGGACGCCAUCUCCUGCUUUGAAAACUCGGACUGAACUGACCACGGCUUGUCUUCCCCCUUCUUGGACUUGGAAUCUACAAACGUCUGCUUCUGGCUUUGAUCUACGGAAAGGAACUGGGUCUACUCUACUGCUACAAUCCUUGGCUGAUCUGUUCGUGUUGGAAAUCCUGUCUGCUGUGUGUGUGGGAGCGACGCAAGUUACUCUAAGCACAGUGUUGGCAGCAGAGAGGAAUCUGCUGCCAAUUAGUUGCAUUCUUUUGUAUCUUUUGUUCCUCGGCUUUUGUUUUGUUUAUCCCCAGGCUGAAGCAAGCAGUUUGUUUUUACCCGGAUUAAACUCCGGUUUAAUCCGGUUUAUCUUUUGAACGUUUUUCCUUGUCCCUUUUUGCUCCUAAAGGCUAAUACUGCCUGGCCCUUGUAUUUUACGGGCAUUUUUGAGUUCUGUAAUCCAAUAAACCCUGUUAUCUUGAACCUUGUGGCGUUCUGUCCUUGACAGUUUCAAAAGGUGAAGGAUGAAAAGAUUCGACCCCCUCUUUGCUUGAACUUCGGACUGGUUCAAACUUAUUAAAUUAUCUGCUAUGUGAAUGAUUUUUUAAUCUGAAGAACUGCAAAUUUUAGAUGUUUUAAAAAUCCAAAAAUCUAAAAUACUCCAGAAUUGUCCACAUGCGUGGUUGUGAUAGUGACAACGUUGCUUUCUGAUGGUUCAAUGUACCCAUACUUUGUUUCAUGCACAGAAGUAUUAAAGGUAUUGUACAUUAAAUUACCUUCAGGCUAUGUGAAUCAAAUGUACAUGGUGUACAUAAAAUAUCAAUGAAUUUCAUGCUUAGCCUUGAGUCCCAUCUCCAAGAUAUAAUUCUUUGCUCCCAAAACAGUGAAAUAACAAGUCAACACAACAGUGUGGGUUAAACUAUGGGCAACCAAUCAAUUUCUAUGUGAACUAUCAACCAAUUUAAGGGCAAGAACUUGGUGUAUAAUGAAACUGAGGCUGUGGCCACCCAAGACCUACUCCUCAUCUAUCAAGGGUGAGACUCCAUGGUCCCCGGCUGCAAUAAACUGUUGAUUCCAGGGUGACCAUUCAUGGAAACAGAUGGAGAAUUCUGUCUCAAUUGCAGAGGAUAUUGAGACCAGAACUCUCCCCACUCAAGGCCAUUACUUUUCACCCUCACCUUUGUUCUUUUAACCACAGAUGAGGGUUCCCAUUUUUGGCCUACACCACAAAGGUGUUGCACCCCAAGUCUGCAGGAGCACUCUGAGAAACAGACAGGAAACCAGUAUAACACACAAAUGGUUUAUUGAAGCAAAUAUAUAUGUCUAUGAGCAGUUAGCGAAAUGAGUCAGUGAUAAAAGUAGUCCUUAAUAUAAAGUCUUUAGCGUUUUCAAACAAGUUCAGCAAUGUCCUUUCUGUAAUCCACCAGUGAAACUCGAUAGUUUCACCCAAAAGUCAAAGAUAGUUCUUAAGCCAGAACUAGGAACCAAACACUGCAAACUGCAACUGUAAUCCACUUGGCGAGUUCCUCCUCAGAACAAGGAAAGCAACAUAAACAAGGCAAAGUCAGUCUCAACUCAGGGACAAGGAUGGCAGGGUACAAGGCGAAGUCAGUCUCAACUCAGGAACAAGGAAAGCAAGGUAACAAGGCGAGGUCUACUCGGAGGUAGCGGCACGGUGCAGCUUGCAAGGAACUGGAAACCUGGCUCGGUUUCCAAACAGGAGUCAAGGCUGGGAGCUGGAUACUGGAACCUCUUCUGAGGAAAGGCAAAGUUGACACCGCAAUGAGGAACACAAAGGGGAACACUUUUAAGGAGAUUCCAAGGUUGUGAGAUUAAGGGAGUGCAGGACCCACAAAACUUAUCAUGGGAAACAGUCAUUAUCGAGCCCCAGAGUUAACCUCUUGCUUCUUUGAACCCCCACCUUCUUGCUCCUAUCUCUCGUAAAACACUCCCUCUGAUUGAAAAAUCCAUCUUCACCCAGAACAACACCAUGUGGUGUAGGCAAGAUUGCCGAGGCAUUGUAAUGUUCUCCAUUUAUCGCAUCCUCCUGUGUAAUAAUAUCAGGCAGCUGCAAGGCCAAGGGGCCUUGUUCUGGGCUUGGAUCCAUAGCAUAGUCUGUUUCCAACUCCAACUCCUGGUGAACUAUAGGCCACGAUGGCUGAGCCAUAAAAAAAGGGGUGCCUUAGGUGCUCACUGAGAUGUAAACCUAUCCCUGUUUUCUUGCAUGAUAGCCUAUUUAAAGUCCACUCACCCAAUUUGCCCUGGACAGUGUAGGGUAGGUGAAAAUCCUGACUAGAACAUAAGGGGAAGAAUUCCCCAUUGGCGACCAUU